GAUGAACGCUGGCGGCGUGCCUAAUACAUGCAAGUCGAGCGAACAGACGAGGAGCUUGCUCCUCUGACGUUAGCGGCGGACGGGUGAGUAACACGUGGAUAACCUACCUAUAAGACUGGGAUAACUUCGGGAAACCGGAGCUAAUACCGGAUAAUAUAUUGAACCGCAUGGUUCAAUAGUGAAAGACGGUUUUGCUGUCACUUAUAGAUGGAUCCGCGCCCCAUUAGCUAGUUGGUAAGGUAACGGCUUACCAAGGCAACGAUGCGUAGCCGACCUGAGAGGGUGAUCGGCCACACUGGAACUGAGACACGGUCCAGACUCCUACGGGAGGCAGCAGUAGGGAAUCUUCCGCAAUGGGCGAAAGCUUGACGGAGCAACGCCGCGUGAGUGAUGAAGGUCUUCGGAUCGUAAAACUCUGUUAUUAGGGAAGAACAAAUGUGUAAGUAACUAUGCACGUCUUGACGGUACCUAAUCAGAAAGCCACGGCUAACUACGUG
This 497-nucleotide ribosomal RNA is filed under the name uncultured bacterium. RNAcentral's name for it is "partial 16S ribosomal RNA". It matches the Rfam family "Bacterial small subunit ribosomal RNA", at positions 28 to 507 of the family's 1533-position model. The record is from RNAcentral.